AUUGAACGCUGGCGGCAUGCUUUACACAUGCAAGUCGAACGGUAACAGGCCUUCGGGUGCUGACGAGUGGCGAACGGGUGAGUAAUGCAUCGGAACGUACCCAGAGGUGGGGGAUAACGCAGCGAAAGCUGUGCUAAUACCGCAUGUGAUCUGAGGAUGAAAGCGGGGGACCGAGCAGCAAUGUUUGGCCUCGCGCCUUUGGAGCGGCCGAUGUCGGAUUAGCUAGUUGGUGGGGUAAAGGCCUACCAAGGCGACGAUCCGUAGCUGGUCUGAGAGGACGACCAGCCACACUGGGACUGAGACACGGCCCAGACUCCUACGGGAGGCAGCAGUGGGGAAUUUUGGACAAUGGGCGCAAGCCUGAUCCAGCAAUGCCGCGUGCGGGAAGAAGGCCUUCGGGUUGUAAACCGCUUUUGGCAGGAACGAAACGGUGUCCGCUAAUACCGGGCGCUAAUGUCGGUACCUGCAGAAUAAGCACCGGCUAACUACGUG
RNAcentral lists this ribosomal RNA (492 nucleotides) under uncultured bacterium. RNAcentral's name for it is "partial 16S ribosomal RNA". It matches the Rfam family "Bacterial small subunit ribosomal RNA", at positions 30 to 507 of the family's 1533-position model. The record is from RNAcentral.